RNAcentral lists this ribosomal RNA (468 nucleotides) under uncultured bacterium. Its description in RNAcentral is "partial 16S ribosomal RNA". It matches the Rfam family "Bacterial small subunit ribosomal RNA", at positions 28 to 507 of the family's 1533-position model. The record is from RNAcentral.
GACGAACGCUGGCGGCGUGCUUAACACAUGCAAGUCGAACGGAAAGGCCCUGCUUUUGUGGGGGGCUCGAGUGGCGAACGGGUGAGUAACACGUGAGUAACCUGCCUUUGACUGUGGGAUAACUUCAGGAAACUGGGGCUAAUACCGGAUAGGAGCUCCUGCUGCAUGGUGGGGGUUGGAAAGUUUCGGCGGUUGGGGAUGGACUCGCGGCUGAUCAGCUUGUUGGUGGGGUAGUGGCUUACCAAGGCUUUGACGGGUAGCCGGCCUGAGAGGGUGACCGGCCACAUUGGGACUGAGAUACGGCCCAGACUCCUACGGGAGGCAGCAGUGGGGAAUAUUGCACAAUGGGCGGAAGCCUGAUGCAGCAACGCCGCGUGCGGGAUGACGGCCUUCGGGUUGUAAACCGCUUUCGCCUGUGACGAAGCGUGAGUGACGGUAAUGGGUAAAGAAGCACCGGCUAACUACGUG